This 404-nucleotide ribosomal RNA is filed under the name Actinomycetes bacterium. Its description in RNAcentral is "Actinobacteria bacterium partial 16S ribosomal RNA". It matches the Rfam family "Bacterial small subunit ribosomal RNA", at positions 355 to 776 of the family's 1533-position model. Lineage: Bacteria; Bacillati; Actinomycetota; Actinomycetes. The record is from RNAcentral.
UGGGGAAUAUUGGACAAUGGGCGCAAGCCUGAUCCAUCCAUGCCGCGUGAGUGAUGAAGGCCCUAGGGUUGUAAAGCUCUUUCACCGGUGAAGAUAAUGACGGUAACCGGAGAAGAAGCCCCGGCUAACUUCGUGCCAGCAGCCGCGGUAAUACGAAGGGGGCUAGCGUUGUUCGGAUUUACUGGGCGUAAAGCGCACGUAGGCGGACUAUUAAGUCAGGGGUGAAAUCCCGGGGCUCAACCCCGGAACUGCCUUUGAUACUGGUAGUCUUGAGUUCGAGAGAGGUGAGUGGAAUUCCGAGUGUAGAGGUGAAAUUCGUAGAUAUUCGGAGGAACACCAGUGGCGAAGGCGGCUCACUGGCUCGAUACUGACGCUGAGGUGCGAAAGCGUGGGGAGCAAACAGG